RNAcentral lists this transfer RNA (31 nucleotides) under Pachytriton airobranchiatus. RNAcentral's name for it is "partial tRNA-Ala". Lineage: Eukaryota; Metazoa; Chordata; Amphibia; Caudata; Salamandridae. The record is from RNAcentral.
UUGAUAAAACCUGCAGGACACUACCCCACAU